GCCCCUGUGGGCUAGUCUGGAUAUGCUUGCGAACUGCGGAUUCGCAGACUCGGGUUCAAAUCCCGACAGGGGCACCA
This 77-nucleotide transfer RNA is filed under the name Methanothermococcus okinawensis. RNAcentral's name for it is "tRNA-Arg". It matches the Rfam family "tRNA". Rfam says of the family: Transfer RNA (tRNA) molecules are approximately 80 nucleotides in length. Their secondary structure includes four short double-helical elements and three loops (D, anti-codon, and T loops). Lineage: Archaea; Methanobacteriati; Methanobacteriota; Methanococci; Methanococcales; Methanococcaceae. RNAcentral also lists the same sequence under 1 other name. The record is from RNAcentral.